GUCUACAGCCAGACCACCCUGAGGCACCCAAUCUUGUCUGAUCUCGGAAGCUAAACAGGGUCGGGCCUGGUUAGAACUUGGAUGGUAGAAG
Ribosomal RNA from Cercocebus atys (sooty mangabey), 91 nucleotides. Lineage: Eukaryota; Metazoa; Chordata; Mammalia; Primates; Cercopithecidae. The record is from Ensembl.